GACGAACGCUGGCGGCGUGCUUAACACAUGCAAGUCGAACGAUGACGACCGAGCUUGCUCGGUCUGAUUAGUGGCGAACGGGUGAGUAACACGUGAGCAACCUGCCCUUCACUCUGGGAUAACCUCGGGAAAUCGGGGCUAAUACCGGAUAUGAGCUCCUGUCGCAUGGCGGGCGUUGGAAAUUUUUUCGGUGGAGGAUGGGCUCGCGGCCUAUCAGUUUGUUGGUGGGGUAGUGGCUCACCAAGGCGAUGACGGGUAGCCGGCCUGAGAGGGCGACCGGCCCCACGGGGACGGGGGCAGGGCCAGAACGCCAAAGGGGAGAAGGGGGGGGAAAAAUUGACAAAGGGGCGAAGGCCGUGAAGAAGGCCCCCGGGUGGGGAAGGACGGCCUUCGGGUUGGAAACCUAUUUAAGAAAGAAAAAAGGGAAAUGAAGGGAACCAGAAAAAAAAGCCCGGGUAAAUUAGGG
Molecule: ribosomal RNA, 466 nt
Filed under: uncultured bacterium
Lineage: Bacteria
Description: partial 16S ribosomal RNA
Rfam family: Bacterial small subunit ribosomal RNA
Source: RNAcentral